AUACGGAGGAUCCGAGCGUUAUCCGGAUUUAUUGGGUUUAAAGGGUGCGCAGGCGGCCAUUUAAGUCAGCGGUUAAAUCGUGGGGCUCAACCCCAUUCUGCCGUUGAUACUGGGUGGCUUGAUUGCGGUCGAGGUUGGCGGAAUUCGUUGUGUAGCGGUGAAAUGCAUAGAUAUGACGAAGAACACCGAUUGCGUAGGCAGCUGACCAGAUCGCAAAAGACGCUCAUGCACGAAAGUGCGGGGAUCGAACAGGAUUAGAUACCCUGGUAGUCCGCACAGUAAACGAUGAAUACUUGUUUUCGGCGAUAUAAUGUCGGAGGCAAAGCGAAAGCGAUAAGUAUUCCACCUGGGGAGUACGCCGGCAACGGUGAAACUUAAAGGAAUUGACGGGG
Molecule: ribosomal RNA, 392 nt
Filed under: uncultured bacterium
Lineage: Bacteria
Description: partial 16S ribosomal RNA
Rfam family: Bacterial small subunit ribosomal RNA
Source: RNAcentral